Oryzias latipes (Japanese medaka) is the source of this 616-nucleotide long non-coding RNA. RefSeq lists it as uncharacterized. Lineage: Eukaryota; Metazoa; Chordata; Actinopteri; Beloniformes; Adrianichthyidae. The record is from RefSeq and is a predicted model, not a curated record.
CAGAAGAUUUCAACAACUUUCAGCCUCCACACAACCUCGGUGAGAUUCAUCAUCCAGACAAAGGAAAAAGCUGGAACAGUAGAAAACCUUCAGGAGUGACUGACACAAAAAAGGCUUGAAAACUCAAUCAAGAGAAAAGACACCAAGACUCAGAUACAUCUGGAUGAUCUCCAAAACCUUUCAACAAACAAAUCGGACGUUUUCAUGGAACCACAGCUUCAGUGACGUUUCUGCAUCCUCCCUGUUAGAAAACAGGAAAUCAGUCGUCCAUCAGCCUCCUGCCCUUUGCUGUUAGGUCACAUUGAUUCCAGACUUCAUCUGCUCGGCGGGCAACAGCAGGCAGCCCAGGAUGUAAACACAGGAAACCGUGAAGAAAGAAGUGCUACUACAACAACAACCACAACAAGAACAACAACGACCUAUUUUCUUUGGGUUUCUGCUUCAGGUUUUCUAUCAAUUUCAGCAAAUCCCUGGAUUUUACAGUGUUAGAUGUGUGAUGUGCAUUUACCCCCUGAUAGCAUCAAAUGGUUUAUUCCUCACAUAUUACAGAACCUCUCGUCCAAAUCCUCAUUCUGCCACGGACCUCUUUUUUUUUAAAUCACAGCAACCUUUUUUU